GGAACCGGUUCCGAAGUAAACGAUAAUAACCAGACCGAAUAAGAAUGAAAUUUCGGUGCCUGAUUUCGGUGCCUGAGUCUCUGUGUCACAAGGCGCACACACGUAAAGUCUCUUGUCAAUUGUCGGAAGCCCAUAUAGAAUCACGCCAAUCCAUUGGCUGAUGGCACGGGCGCCGCCUCGACGCUCCUACGUCGUCAUAUUAUAUUAGCGCGCAUUAUCUGAUUUCAUCGUGCGAAAUGAUUUUCAGGCGGUAGCGUAGAGUGGAGCUCAACUCUAGUCUACAUUGAUGGGCGGAGUAGUAGGAGUGGCCUGCUGAGCAUUGCAAUGCACUCUGGGGAUUGUUGUCGAAAAAAAGUAAUUUUCUGCCUUUUAUCGGCCAAGAAAUACCCAAAUUAGAAAUUUAUGAUACUAUUCUACUACAUGUAUGACCCACUUUUAAUACAUAUUCAUGUCUCCACCGGUGGAAUAACCCUUUAAAUCAACUUUACUGCAUAUGCGGAAAACGUAAUAAAAGCUCACCGAGUUGAUACAGAGAUCGAGAGACCCGACAUAAUAAAGUUUUCAAGCUGUUCUUCUGAAACGAUCACUAUAUUCGCGAAUUAUCCCACCACUUACUGGUGCGUUCGGGUCGCACUCAACUGCCACUCCAAGUUUUGGAAUCAAAAAGCUGGACAAAAAUGCCAUCUCCGUGUGGACGGAAGGCCGAAUCUUAGUGAAAAAGAUCUUUCAAAUGUAUCUGGAUUCAUAGACAAAGACAUGAAAACAUCUCUGAUCAUAAUGUACUUUUCCCCUAGUUCCCGUGUGCAGCUGCUGUACAAGGUCAAUGAAAUAUAUCAGAAAAUACACUCAAGCCCAGCUGGCCUCCAGAUGCAGUCGUGCCCCUGUGAAAGUGGAACACCUAGGGUUAAUCCAGACUCUUUCAGGAAUAUCCUGCGUCUCCUUUGAUUCCAGCUCAGAGAUGAAGUGUCCAAAUGUGCCAGCCGUCAUGUUUUCCCUCUGCCAGAUCUUGUUCAAUCUCUCAACUGCAUCGAGUGGGGCUUUCAACAUGACUGAAAAGCACUUCAAUAUGAACAUCAAGUGAAUGUGUCCUAGUUACUUUUUCUUCCCUCUUUAUCAGUUUACCUAUAUUCUUAGAAGUUCACUUGACUGAAUUAUCAGUCACCUUAUAUUUUGCGAAUCUUGAAUAAAUGUGCCAGAAGUAAUUCAAUAUUAUAUAAACCCAGUUUAUCUCUGUUCUACUGUAUACCGUUCAUUCAGUCUCGUAACAUAAACGAUGUUUGUAAAUGCCAACUGCUUUUUUCCUUCAGCCGUGUCUUGUAACUCAGGCUUUAUUCAUACCGACAGACAGGGGAGCAGCUCUCGGUAGCACCUGGUUCUUGUCUUUGCCGCUCUCGGCCCAUUUGACCUCCCCUCCAGUGCAGAAAAUGCAAGCUACAAUUAAGGGUGGAUCCGAGUCCCGUGAGACUUGAGUCAACCCUCUCGCUCUCCUCAUCUUGUCCUCGUUCGUCGUCUUGAGUGUCUUCAAACUAUGGCAACACUCCAGCCUCAUGCCACCUACCUGGGAACCUCUGAAAUCUACUGUUUCCAGGAGUCAGGAGUGAGCUGGGAAAUGAUCAACUAUAUAACUGAAG
Molecule: non-coding RNA, 1631 nt
Organism: Pimephales promelas (fathead minnow)
Lineage: Eukaryota; Metazoa; Chordata; Actinopteri; Cypriniformes; Leuciscidae
Source: RefSeq, a predicted model, not a curated record